AUACGUAGGGGACGAGCGUUGUCCGGAAUUACUGGGCGUAAAGGGCGCGCAGGCGGAUAUUUAAGUCAGCUGUAAAAGGCAUGAGCUCAACUCAUGUAUGCGGUUGAAACUGGGUAUCUAGAGUGCUGGAGAGGUAGGCGGAAUUCCCGGUGAAGCGGUGAAAUGCGUAGAUAUCGGGAAGAACACCAGUGGCGAAGGCGGCUUACUGGCCAGCAACUGACGCUGAGGCGCGAAAGCCAGGGGAGCGAACGGGAUUAGAUACCCCGGUAGUCCUGGCCGUAAACGAUGAAUGCUAGGUGUGGGUGUCGAGAGGCAUCCGUGCCGGAGUUAACGCGAUAAGCAUUCCGCCUGGGGAGUACGAUCGCAAGAUUGAAACUCAAAUGAAUUGACGGGG
RNAcentral lists this ribosomal RNA (394 nucleotides) under uncultured bacterium. Its description in RNAcentral is "partial 16S ribosomal RNA". It matches the Rfam family "Bacterial small subunit ribosomal RNA", at positions 523 to 918 of the family's 1533-position model. The record is from RNAcentral.